CAUGAACGAUGUGUUUGCUUACAACUGUGUGGUUUUUCUUCUCACACGUGUUAAAGUCCCGGGCAGUCUCAGCUGUUAACUUCGCCAGCAACAAGUCAACAACAUAACAUUACUCAUAAAUUAACGUCUGCACCAUUGUAACCAACACGACAACCAAAGUGGCUAGUAACGAUAGAAGUUAAUGUUAGUUUAGUUAAUAACGUUAGUACGUUUGUUAGCUUUAGUACUAAGCCAGCAGGGUUAAACAUACAUUAAGUGUUUUUUUCUGUGUCGUUUUACAUUUAAAUGCUAGCUGGUUGGAUAAGUUACUGGAGUCAACCAUACAACCUGAGGGAACUGGGACGAAGAUUUGUCAAAGACUUUGCAAGUUUACUGAAUCAAAGAAGGAGAGGUUUCUGUACUUCCUGAGAGAAACCCUUGCUCGUAGAUAAUGCUGGACAUAACGUUACCUGAUAAACAUCUUUCUGCUCAUCGUUCAAAGCUACUGUACUGAUCAAGCCCUGCCAAGCCAUGUGGUCGUCCUGUUCCCUCUGUCCAUGGUCCUGAAACAACUAGUGCAACUGGAAACUUCUCUUUCCUUUUGAGUCAUAUUUUCUGAAUUUUGGACAUGGUUACUACUACUACUAAUAAAAAUAAUAGUAUGAAUAAUUUUUAUUGUCAUCUUAAUCUAAUAAGAACAAGUAAGUGAGAUACAUAUAAGCAUACGUUUGCAGACUUUUAUAAUAAAUAAGUGUUCCAAAUAAGAGACCACAUACAUUUUU
Molecule: long non-coding RNA, 761 nt
Organism: Morone saxatilis (striped sea-bass)
Lineage: Eukaryota; Metazoa; Chordata; Actinopteri; Moronidae
Exons: 4
Source: RefSeq, a predicted model, not a curated record